CAACAGCGAACAUGCUGAGCUGCUUCUCCACUUUGAGAGGCUGAAGCCUCAGGACCCCAGGUCGAGAAAGUAUCUGUGAAUGAUUAAGACUCCAUCCAGAUGGUGUAGACCAUGCUGUAGCAGCCACAGGACUGUCACAGACACCCCAGGGAUGGUCUCCCCAGGAGUGAUCACCAGUGACCUACCAAAAUCAAGGUAAUGUCCUCAAGGUCUAUCGGGCACAGCAUUGGCACAACUCCAGUGCAUAAAACCCUGUGUAAUUCAAGAUGUCCUGCUCUGAAUUCCAACUGUGUCCUCAUUCCCUGAAUAUUGUCAAUGGAUCAAACUCAGGACUUGCACUUGUGAGGCAGGCGGCAGAACCACUGAGCUAAAUC
This is a non-coding RNA of Heterocephalus glaber (naked mole-rat), 374 nucleotides long. Lineage: Eukaryota; Metazoa; Chordata; Mammalia; Rodentia; Bathyergidae. The record is from RefSeq and is a predicted model, not a curated record.